Molecule: ribosomal RNA, 482 nt
Filed under: uncultured bacterium
Lineage: Bacteria
Description: partial 16S ribosomal RNA
Rfam family: Bacterial small subunit ribosomal RNA
Source: RNAcentral
AUUGAACGCUGGCGGCAUGCUUUACACAUGCAAGUCGAACGGUAACAGGCCGCAAGGUUCUUACUAGUGGCGAACGGUUGAGUACUGCAUCGGAACGUGCCCAGUCGUGGUGUAUAAUUACUCGUAAGAGUAGCUAAUACCGCAUACGAUCUCUGGAUGACUGCGGGUGACCGUAAGGCCUCGCGCGAUCUUACCGGCCGAUGUCAGCUUAUGUAGUUGGUGGGGUAAAGGCUCACCAAGCCAACGAUCUGUAGCUGGUCUGAGAGGACGACCAGCCACACUGGAACUGAGACACGGCCCAGACUCCUACGGGAGGCAGCAGUGGGGAAUAUUGGACAAUGGGCGCAAGCCUGAUCCAGCAAUGCCGCGUGGAGGAAGAAGGCCUUCGGGUUGUAAACUGCUUUUGUACGGAACGAAACGGCUCUGGCUAAUACCCGGGGCUAAUGACGGUACCGUAAGAAUAAGCACCGGCUAACUACGUG